Molecule: ribosomal RNA, 546 nt
Filed under: Triticum aestivum (bread wheat)
Lineage: Eukaryota; Viridiplantae; Streptophyta; Magnoliopsida; Poales; Poaceae
Description: partial small subunit ribosomal RNA
Source: RNAcentral
AUGCGGACGAUGCCAUGGAAGGGCCACCAUGACCAGGAGCAGGACGACGCCUUGGAAGGUUCACCGAUAGGAGCAACUACGUACGGUCUGGUCUUCUCCACUAACAGGGAUAUCGACAUGGAGGUCCGCCAUGGAAGGCCUGGAGCUCGUCAUGGAGGGUCCCUCCUCUCUCUUCCCCUCCCUCUACUCUGUUGGUUGGUUGGACGGAAGACCACCGCUCGUCAGGCUCUGCUUCUUCCACCGCUGCUCCCCUCCCACCAUAGUGCCACAGACGCUAUGCCAAGCACGGAAGGGGUGGAUGCCAAUACUCUUAGAAUGGUCAUUGGAGCAAUAUACACAACAGUGAUGUUUGUCGGCAUCAACAACUGUGCAACCGUUCAACCAAUUGUUUUAAUCGAGAGAACAACUUGUACAAAGAGAGGGCUGCUCCAUUGCUCAGCUACUUAUGCAGCGAAGGUACAGGUUCUAGAUGGCUCUGUAGACAGUGAGAAUGAGGAAACUCAAACUCAUGAAGAUUCUAAUGAGGAAAUCGAUUAUGAUAAAUAA